Molecule: non-coding RNA, 27 nt
Filed under: Mus musculus (house mouse)
Lineage: Eukaryota; Metazoa; Chordata; Mammalia; Rodentia; Muridae
Source: RNAcentral
UAAAGUGCUCCCAGAGCUGGUUCCUCA